CUACGGGGUGCAGCAGUGGGGAAUAUUGCACAAUGGACGAAAGUCUGAUGCAGCAACGCCGCGUGGAGGAUGACACAUUUCGGUGCGUAAACUCCUUUUAUAUAGGAAGAUAAUGACGGUACUAUAUGAAUAAGCGCCGGCUAACUCCGUGCCAGCAGCCGCGGUAAUACGGAGGGCGCAAGCGUUACUCGGAAUCACUGGGCGUAACGAGCGUGUAGGCGGAUAGAUAAGUCAGGAGUGAAAUCCUAUGGCCCAACCAUAGAACUGCUCUUGAAACUGUCUAUCUAGAAUAUGGGAGAGGUAGAUGGAAUUUCUGGUGUAGGGGUAAAAUCCGUAGAGAUCAGAAGGAAUACCGAUUGCGAAGGCGAUCUACUGGAACAUUAUUGACGCUGAGACGCGAAAGCGUGGGGAGCAAACAGGAUUAGAUACCCGGGUAGUC
RNAcentral lists this ribosomal RNA (439 nucleotides) under uncultured bacterium. RNAcentral's name for it is "partial 16S ribosomal RNA". It matches the Rfam family "Bacterial small subunit ribosomal RNA", at positions 339 to 795 of the family's 1533-position model. The record is from RNAcentral.